AACAUUCCCAUCUCUACUGACUCACAUGGCCUGGAACGCAAGUUCACAUACCAAAGAGAACUGAGAAGGGGGAUGGGGGAAAUAACUCUCCAAUUUAUCUAGGUAAGAGCACCACUCCUAUUUUCACUCCAUGAGUGUUAUGCAAGGUCAGCCUCCCCCUCUGCAGAAUGGGAGAGUUCUGGAUGACUUCUCUGAACAGCAUGGGGUCAAGGAUGACUGCCAAGACAUCAGAUGUCAUCACACCUGCCUUUCUCCUGGAUGUCUUUUCUUAUCAUUACAGUUGAAAUGCAAGAGAAACCCUAAAAGAAAUGUGAAGCUGAGAAGGACACAGCUCUCUGACCAUGACCACAGGAAGUGAGAUAGGAGCUAUAAGAAGGUAAUACAAGUUAAAUGAAGUUAUAAGGAUGGAACUUUGAUCUGACAAGACUGGUGCCCUUGUAAGAAGAGACAACAGAGAUCUCUCUCUCUCUGUGAGCACAAAGAGAAGAGGCCAUGUGGAGACACAGGGAGAAAGCAACAGUCUACAAGCCAGGAAGAGAGUUCUCACCAGAAACCAACUUGAUGGCACCUUGCUCUUAGACUUCUAGCCUCCAGAAUGGGCCUGAUGCAGAAGUGCUUCUCCUUCCCCUUGCCCCUGGACCUGAGCCGGAGCUGUCUAUCUACAUGAGGACACCAUCUGGCAACACUGAAAUGUUGCCCUCACUGUAUGCCAUCACCAGGAAGACAAGCAAUAGAUGAUGAGUGAAAAUAAAAUGUUUAGUUGGAAACUAUUUGGGAAUGGCUUUAUGUCCACAUAUGGACACAGCCUGGCUGGAACUGGGGAGAUCUUCCCUUUCUGGUGUCUUUUCAAGGUCUUGAGAUGAGCUCUAACAAAUAUCUCAGGCCAUCUGGCCUAGUUUUUCAUAAUUGUGACUCCUAAAUGUAAACACGGUCCGAGAGAAUAUCGGGAACAAAAAAAAGGCUAAUGAAAUUCUUCUAAUUUAACGGAGUUGUUCUGAGUCUCAUUCAGUUACUUAAACAUUUUUUUCUUUCCUUCUCGCAGUCAUCAAUCCUGGAAAAUCU
RNAcentral lists this long non-coding RNA (1062 nucleotides) under Homo sapiens (human). RNAcentral's name for it is "HSALNT0219903". Lineage: Eukaryota; Metazoa; Chordata; Mammalia; Primates; Hominidae. The record is from RNAcentral.